CCAGCUCCUCACCGAAACAUCUUUCGCUCUCGGUGCCCGGUUUGUGACCCGCACACCCUUGUGAACCAUAUUUCCCAGAGAGGCUCCGCCUGUUCCUGCUCCCGGAAUCUCUCUUCCAUCAUGCUUGGUCCACGUUCCGUUCAGGUUCACCGGAAUUCCACGGCUGGGACCUGAAAUGGGAAGCGACUUGGCCGCGAAGGAUCUUGGGAGCGGUGGUUCUAGCGCAGGCGCUGGACGCUUGGGACACAGGACAGAGUGAAAAGGACACUGAAGAUGCAGAAGGCGGAGGCGAGCCAGAAGGCGCCGUAAGGCCUGAGAACCUCCUGGAAAGAGAGGAAGGGCCUCAUGUAGACACAACAGGAAGGCCAUGAACCAGUUAGUGAGGACGCACACACCUGUGGCCAGGCCCUUGACGCGCAGAGGAAAGAUCUCAGACAUGAGGAGCCAGGGGAUGGGCCCCCAGCCCACGGCGAAGCCUGUGGG
Long non-coding RNA from Prionailurus viverrinus (fishing cat), 483 nucleotides. RefSeq lists it as uncharacterized. The record is from RefSeq and is a predicted model, not a curated record. The transcript has 3 exons. NCBI's taxonomy places the organism in Eukaryota, Metazoa, Chordata, Mammalia, Carnivora, Felidae.